GUCUUGAUAGUAACACUUGGGAUCCAGGCUGACUGGUCAGGGGCCUGAAGUGACAGAGAUUGAAAGACUGGGGACUAGGAGGUCUAAGGUAGCGGCAUGUGGAUGGGCAUGUUCAAGGCGCCAUGUUGAAGAUCUUCAUGUCAUUCCUUAAUGACCACCAGAUAUCAUCCUCCAGGGAAAGGACACUCAAAAACCGUCAAAACAAAAGAAGCCAGGGAGUUGACAUUAGCCAUUAGUGUCUGAAUGACAUGGCCAUGGUGGCAGAGGUGGAGGUCCUGCCUGGGUCCAACAACAUGGGCUCUCACUCACCGGGACCGACUUCUGCUACUGCUAUGUUCAACCUGCCAGCAACAGAGACUAAUGCGGAGACUCCAAAAUGGCAUGAUACCUCAAGGAGACCAACUGGACACUUGAAGGCAAUUUGGAAUUGGGAAACUUGGAGAUUGACGGAGUAAGCAGCGGAGCAGAGGCAGAAGGGGUGCUUUGGGAGAUGACACCAGUCUUCCUCUAGCUCACGUGGAAGAAGGAAAUCAUAAAAAGUAGCUGUGAUAGCUGCCUUCAAAUAUCGGAGGUGUGUCAUGUGGGGAAAGAAUAACACUUGCUCAGAGGUGCUCCAGAGCAUCAUGGCUG
RNAcentral lists this long non-coding RNA (630 nucleotides) under Homo sapiens (human). RNAcentral's name for it is "HSALNT0365845". The record is from RNAcentral. Lineage: Eukaryota; Metazoa; Chordata; Mammalia; Primates; Hominidae.